GAUGAACGCUGGCGGCGUGCCUAAUACAUGCAAGUCGAGCGAACAGAUGAGGAGCUUGCUCCUCUGACGUUAGCGGCGGACGGGUGAGUAACACGUGGAUAACCUACCUAUAAGACUGGGAUAACUUCGGGAAACCGGAGCUAAUACCGGAUAAUAUAUUGAACCGCAUGGUUCAAUAGUGAAAGACGGUUUUGCUGUCACUUAUAGAUGGAUCCGCGCCGCAUUAGCUAGUUGGUAAGGUAACGGCUUACCAAGGCAACGAUGCGUAGCCGACCUGAGAGGGUGAUCGGCCACACUGGAACGUAGACACGGUCCAGACUCCUACGGGAGGCAGCAGUAGGGAAUCUUCCGCAAUGGGCGAAAGCCUGACGGAGCAACGCCGCGUGAGUGAUGAAGGUCUUCGGAUCGUAAAACUCUGUUAUUAGGGAAGAACAAAUGUGUAAGUAACUAUGCACGUCUUGACGGUACCUAAUCAGAAAGUCACGGCUAACUACGUG
RNAcentral lists this ribosomal RNA (497 nucleotides) under uncultured bacterium. RNAcentral describes it as "partial 16S ribosomal RNA". It matches the Rfam family "Bacterial small subunit ribosomal RNA", at positions 28 to 507 of the family's 1533-position model. The record is from RNAcentral.